This 584-nucleotide long non-coding RNA is filed under the name Homo sapiens (human). RNAcentral describes it as "non-protein coding lnc-NTM-1:1". The record is from RNAcentral. Lineage: Eukaryota; Metazoa; Chordata; Mammalia; Primates; Hominidae.
ACUGAACCAGUAUCAUUAAAGCUUGAAGUGUUGAAAUAAGUGGCCUGGGACUGGCUUCCACGGUGAUAAAAGAUUCAUCUGGUAGCACCAGAGUAAAAGAAGUCUCACUAAACACUGGCCGGGCAGCUGCUGCUCGGUGUGAGCAUCCCGGGGAUGCAAGCGUGGGGGAGGCAUCCCUUUGUUUCCUGAGUCCUAGAAGCAGGUCCCCGACGAGGAACAACGAUGCCUGGACUCAGCUUCAGCCUCUGUUCUUCUACCGUUCAGAAGCCACCCUCCGGCAAGGUGACCCCGGCUGCUGGAUGGGGCAAGCCCAGGAAUUCUCGGCUUCUGACACAUGACGCAUUCAUCUUCUCCGACAGUGUUCCCAUGCACAACUUGUGGUUCGGGUUGGAAAUGCAAAGUGGAAAAAUGCAUAGCAGUAUCCCCUCCUCCAAGGCCUCAGUCUCUGUGCUCAUAUUCACUGAGACUAGUGACCCCCGACUUCCCACUCGCCGGCCCCUCCUCCUCCCCUUCCAACAUAAUAUGCUGUUUACUUAUUUAUUGUGUUCAUUUUCCGUCUCACCCAAAUCUAUUCUAGAAAAGGU